GUCUACGGCUAUGCCUCCCUGAACACGCCCAAUCUCGUCUGAUCUCGUAAGCAGGGGCGGGCCUGGUUAGUACUUGCAUGGGAGACCACCGAGGAAGACCGGGUGCUGUAGGCA
RNAcentral lists this ribosomal RNA (114 nucleotides) under Pteropus alecto (black flying fox). Lineage: Eukaryota; Metazoa; Chordata; Mammalia; Chiroptera; Pteropodidae. The record is from RNAcentral.